RNAcentral lists this RNase P RNA (357 nucleotides) under Elusimicrobia bacterium RIFOXYB2_FULL_49_7. Its description in RNAcentral is "RNase P RNA component class A". It matches the Rfam family "Bacterial RNase P class A". Rfam says of the family: Ribonuclease P (RNase P) is a ubiquitous endoribonuclease, found in archaea, bacteria and eukarya as well as chloroplasts and mitochondria. Its best characterised activity is the generation of mature 5'-ends of tRNAs by cleaving the 5'-leader elements of precursor-tRNAs. Lineage: Bacteria; Pseudomonadati; Elusimicrobiota. The record is from RNAcentral.
GGAGCGGGUCGGGCGGCCGCUGUUGUGCAAACAAUAGAGGAAAGUCCGGAUACCACAGGGCAGAAUGCUUCCUAACGGGAAGUCGGCGCGAGCCGGGGAUAAGUGCCACAGAAAAUAAACCGCCUGUGAUUGUGAAAACAAAGACAGGUAAGGGUGAAACGGCGAGGUAAGAGCUCACCGCGUUUCCGGUGACGGAAACGGCAGGGUAAACCCCAUUCGGUACAAGACCAAGUAAAGGGAAAUGAGGCGGCCCGCCUCGUUUGAUUCCAGGGUAGGUUGCUUGAGGCCGGCUGUGAAGCCUGUCCCAGAGUAAUGGCCGUACAAAGACAGAAUCCGGCUUACAGACCCGCUCCAUUU